UCGUUGGAGAGUUUGAUCCUGGCUCAGGACGAACGCUGGCGGCGUGCCUAAUGCAUGCAAGUCGAGCGACGCGCACUACGGUGCGACGGAGCGGCGAACGGGUGAGUAACACGUGAGCAACCUGCCCUGAAGACCGGAAUAGCCCGGGGAAACCCGGAGUAAUGCCGGAUAAUCUCGCAAUGUCACAUGAUCUGCGAGGAAACGCCUUUGUGCUUCAGGAUGGGCUCACGGCCUAUCAGCUAGUUGGUGAGGUAACGGCUCACCAAGGCGACGACGGGUAGCUGGUCUGAGAGGACGAUCAGCCACACUGGGACUGAGACACGGCCCAGACUCCUACGGGAGGCAGCAGCAGGGAAUAUUGCGCAAUGGGCGAAAGCCUGACGCAGCGACGCCGCGUGGGGGAUGAAGGCCUUCGGGUUGUAAACCCCUUUCAGGAGGGAAGAAAUUGACGGUACCUCCAAAAGAAGCCCCGGCCAACUACGUGCCAGCAGCCGCGGUAAGACGUAGGGGGCGAGCGUUGUCCGGAAUCAUUGGGCGUAAAGGGCUCGUAGGCGGCUCGGUAAGUUGAUCGUGAAAUCCCGGAGCUCAACUCCGGAACUGCGGUUGAUACUGCCGUGGCUAGAGUCAGGUAGAGGAGAGUAGAAUUCCCGGUGUAGCGGUGGAAUGCGCAGAUAUCGGGAGGAAUACCAUUUAGCGAAGGCGGCUCUCUGGGCCUGUACUGACGCUGAGGAGCGAAAGCGUGGGUAGCAAACAGGAUUAGAUACCCUGGUAGUCCACGCCGUAAACGUUGGGCACUAGGCGUGGUGGCCUGAUCAAGGGCUGCUGUGCCGACGCUAACGCAUUAAGUGCCCCGCCUGGGGAGUACGGCCGCAAGGCUAAAACUCAAAGGAAUUGACGGGUCCCCGCACAAGCGGCGGAGCAUGCGGCUUAAUUCGAUGCAACCCGAAGAACCUUACCUAGGUUUGACAUUAUGGGAAAAGCCAUGGAAACAUGCAUGGCUGUCGUCAGCUCGUGUCGUGAGAUGUUGGGUUAAGUCCCGCAACGAGCGCAACCCUCGUCCUAUGUUGCCAGCGGGUAAAGCCGGGGACUCAUAGGAGACCGCCGGGGACAACUCGGAGGAAGGUGAGGAUGACGUCAAGUCAGUAUGCCCCUUACACCUAGGGCUGCACGCAUGCUACAAUGGCCGGUACAACGGGCAGCGAUCCUGCGAAGGUGAGCGAAUCCCUUAAAGCCGGCCCCAGUUCGGAUUGGAGUCUGCAACUCGACUCCAUGAAGCCGGAGUCGCUAGUAAUCGCGGAUCAGCAAAGCCGCGGUGAAUACGUUCUCGGGGAUUGUACACACCGCCCGUCACGUCACGAAAGUCGGCAACGCCCGAAGUCAGUGGCCUAACCCGCAAGGGAAGGAACUGCCGAAGGUGGGGUCGGUGAUUGGGACGAAGUCGUAACAAGGUAGCCGUACGGGAACGUGCGGCUGGAUCACCUCCUUU
RNAcentral lists this ribosomal RNA (1486 nucleotides) under Actinomycetes bacterium. RNAcentral's name for it is "bacterial SSU rRNA". It matches the Rfam family "Bacterial small subunit ribosomal RNA". The record is from RNAcentral. Lineage: Bacteria; Bacillati; Actinomycetota; Actinomycetes.